Molecule: ribosomal RNA, 229 nt
Filed under: uncultured bacterium
Lineage: Bacteria
Description: partial 16S ribosomal RNA
Rfam family: Bacterial small subunit ribosomal RNA
Source: RNAcentral
UCCGUAGGCGGAAUAAUAAGUCAGUGGUGAAAGUCUGCAGCUCAACUGCAGAAUUGCCAUUGAUACUGUUAUUCUUGAAUUAUUAUGAAGUGGUUGGAAUGAGUAGUGUAGCGGUGAAAUGCAUAGAUAUUACUCAGAACACCUAUUGCGAAGGCAGAUCACUAAUAAUAUAUUGACGCUGAGGGACGAAAGCGUAGGUAGCGAACAGGAUUAGAUACCCUGGUAGUCC